This 316-nucleotide ribosomal RNA is filed under the name uncultured bacterium. Its description in RNAcentral is "bacterial SSU rRNA". It matches the Rfam family "Bacterial small subunit ribosomal RNA", at positions 28 to 334 of the family's 1533-position model. The record is from RNAcentral.
GACGAACGCUGGCGACAGGCUUAACACAUGCAAGUCGAGGGGCAGCAUGAACUUAGCUUGCUAAGUUUGAUGGCGACCGGCGCACGGGUGAGUAACGCGUAUGCAACUUACCUAUCAGAGGAGAAUAGCUCAUCGAAAGAUGAAUUAAUGCUCCAUAAAACAGGGGUCCCGCAUGGGAAUAUUUGUUAAAGAUUCAUCGCUGAUAGAUAGGCAUGCGUUCCAUUAGGCAGUUGGCGGGGUAACGGCCCACCAAACCGACGAUGGAUAGGGGUUCUGAGAGGAAGGUCCCCCACAUUGGAACUGAGACACGGUCCAA